This 440-nucleotide ribosomal RNA is filed under the name uncultured bacterium. Its description in RNAcentral is "partial 16S ribosomal RNA". It matches the Rfam family "Bacterial small subunit ribosomal RNA", at positions 338 to 795 of the family's 1533-position model. The record is from RNAcentral.
CCUACGGGUGGCUGCAGUGGGGAAUAUUGGACAAUGGGGGGAACCCUGAUCCAGCGACGCCGCGUGAGUGAAGAAGUAUUUCGGUAUGUAAAGCUCUAUCAGCAGGGACGAAAAUGACGGUACCUGCAGGAGAAGCCCCGGCUGACUACGUGCCAGCAGCCGCGGGAAUACGUCGGGGGCAAGCGUUAUCCGGAUUUACUGGGUGUAAAGGGGGCGCAGGUGGCGAUGCAAGCCAGGAGUUAAAUCCCGGGGCCCAACCCCGGGACUGCCCUUGGAACUGCGUGGCUGGAGUGCAGGAGAGGCAGGCGGAAUUCGUGGUGUAGCGGUGAAAUGCGUAGAUAUCAGGAGGAACACCGGUGGCGAAGGCGGCCUGCUGGACUGCAACUGACGUUGAGGCCCGAAAGCGUGGGGAGCAAACAGGAUUAGAUACCCCGGUAGUC